GCCAGUGUAAUAUUGAGAAAAGAAUGCAAUACUUUUUCAUGUGUUCUUACAAAUUUCGUACAUUUGUAUUUCGUAAAUGGUCUCUAAAAAAAUCCUCAGCUUUACAGAAAUAUUUUUUGGUAAAAAUCAUAAAUUUUAUACAUUAAGCCAGCAACAAGAAAAUUCUGUUAACCUUAUCUUCUUCAUAUUAAUAAGGGCAUUUCCCUGUUUUGUAUUGAAGUGCAUUUUUUUUUAAUAUCCUAUAUUUUACCGCCAGUUUUCUUUUUUAAUCUUAUGUGUCUCCUCUGGAAACUAAUCACAAACUUUAACAAUUAAUGUUCAUGAUAUCUACUGAAGAGUUCCAGACAUAAGAAAUAGCAUGUUUAAGUCUCCCUUAAGAAACUUUCAUCAUAGGCAUCACUUUAACUAGUUUAUAAAUAAAAAUACCCAUUUUGGUGCUGAGUAAAAGAAACACCUGUUUGACUGUCUGUUUUUAUAAUUUAUACCUGUAGUGUAACUUGCUUUUAAGUGCCAGUCUGCCUAAGAAUCAGGCAGUGGUGAAAACAUGACCAAAAAAAUCCACCCUAUUUGACAUUGAUUUCAGUUCAUAAUAUGUAGUUAUGCACAAAAAUAACAUUCAUUUCCAUUUUCUGUUCUGGUAAUAGAAGAUACAAUUUGGUUGAAAUGCACUAGAAAUUAACGAAUAAGGGGAGAUAACUCUGUAAUUUGCUAUCAAUCUAACCAAUUUUCCAACCAAGUUAUUUGAUAUUACCAGACACACACAAACGAAAGACUAAUACUUUUUAACUCAGGAUGAUGGUUAGUAUUAAAUAGCAUGAUUAACUCGGUGGGUUUUUCUAAUCAUGUUUUAAUUUUUACCUAAAUUGCCUCAUUCUUACAAAGACUGGCACUUAAAUACA
RNAcentral lists this long non-coding RNA (899 nucleotides) under Mytilus galloprovincialis (Mediterranean mussel). Lineage: Eukaryota; Metazoa; Mollusca; Bivalvia; Mytilida; Mytilidae. The record is from RNAcentral.